Molecule: long non-coding RNA, 417 nt
Organism: Acomys russatus (golden spiny mouse)
Lineage: Eukaryota; Metazoa; Chordata; Mammalia; Rodentia; Muridae
Exons: 5
Source: RefSeq, a predicted model, not a curated record
UCUGGCUAUCUUUUUUUCUAGGAAUACACACAGAUGGUCAAAUAAAUUAAGAAAGGAAGAACCAUAAAAUUUACAUUGUCUAUUGAUGCUAAGAAUUUGGAAUCAUAAUGGAUUAAUGACAUUGCCUUUACUUUGUUCCUACCACAAUUGUCCACAUGACAAUUUACAACAAUCUGUGACUCAACUCCCAAGGAAUCUGAGGAAUACUUCUGACAUCCUCAGCCUCUGCAGCUACUAGAUAUUGUCCACUAAUAUGCACACUACCUGAACAAGAAUUGAACCUUAAGAUUGCAGCUUGUGCCUCCAGAUUCCUGCCCUGCUUGAAUUCCUGCCCUAACUUCCUUUGAUGAUGAGCUAAUGUGGAAGGUUCAUCUUUGAGAAAUUCAAGACAGUGCCUUGGAAGCAGGAUCUAAUAUA